This 71-nucleotide transfer RNA is filed under the name Actinomycetota bacterium. Its description in RNAcentral is "tRNA-Gly". It matches the Rfam family "tRNA". Rfam says of the family: Transfer RNA (tRNA) molecules are approximately 80 nucleotides in length. The record is from RNAcentral. Lineage: Bacteria; Bacillati; Actinomycetota.
GCGGGUGUCGUUCAAAGGCAGGACCUCAGCCCUCCAAGCUGAUGAUGCCGGUUCGAAUCCGGUCACCCGCU